Molecule: long non-coding RNA, 394 nt
Filed under: Triticum aestivum (bread wheat)
Lineage: Eukaryota; Viridiplantae; Streptophyta; Magnoliopsida; Poales; Poaceae
Description: long non-coding RNA (TAES_LNC015189)
Source: RNAcentral
GAGCCCAAAAGAUUUCUAUACAUGGACGAACAUGCAACCAAUUAAACACACGUUCUUUUUGAAAGAAUUAAAGAAAUGACUGAGAAAAUAACACAUUACAAAAAACAUAGGGUGAUUACCCUGGUUAGCUAAUUACAUGAUUAUUAGUAUCGAAUAUGGGCCACCAUGUGUUGAGCAUAUAGGUAGCCCCACGUCUGUUCCAUCAUUGUGAUGCAUAUACACCCCAAAUCUGUAAGAAACAAAAAAUAAUUGUAAAACCAAAAUUAAUCCUGGGCCAUCGUAGUUACAACUUACUUGCUGGUUGGUGCAGGUAGAUAUCCAUCGUUUUGAACAUGCACGAUCAACACUGAUAUCAAUGCGAUUUACACCGGGCCUUUAUCAUGUGGCGUACUCC